Trachemys scripta elegans is the source of this 343-nucleotide long non-coding RNA. RefSeq lists it as uncharacterized. The transcript has 4 exons. Lineage: Eukaryota; Metazoa; Chordata; Testudines; Emydidae. The record is from RefSeq and is a predicted model, not a curated record.
CUCCAAAUCUUGCUGAACAAGUCUCUCAUAUUUCAAACUUCAUACCAGUGAAUGUCAAAUGCCAGAACAGACACAAAGCCUGAUUUAUUGGUUAUAUCGCCAUUCCACCGAACACUUGCAGCAAACAACCCCCUACUACAAUACCCUCUGCUACUGGAUCUUGGGAGAGGAGGCAGAAGCAGCCAAGGAGAUCUGGCAGAGCACGGGUCACUUUCACUUGUAGAACCAUAUGAAUGUUCUUCAAACUCAGAGAGCCCUUUGGUCUAACAGACAAAGGCAAAACAAGAUGCAGCAGUUGGAAGCUACAUGUUAGAAAAAUUCAAUUCAGAAAUAAGAUGUAAAC